This 179-nucleotide ribosomal RNA is filed under the name uncultured bacterium. RNAcentral's name for it is "partial 16S ribosomal RNA". It matches the Rfam family "Bacterial small subunit ribosomal RNA", at positions 1322 to 1500 of the family's 1533-position model. The record is from RNAcentral.
GAAGCUGGAAUCGCUAGUAAUCGCGAAUCAGGAUGUCGCGGUGAAUACGUUCCCGGGUCUUGUACACACCGCCCGUCACACCAUGGGAGUCGGAAAUGCCCGAAGUCAGUGACCCAACCGCAAGGAGGGAGCUGCCGAAGGUGGAGCCGGUAACUGGGGUGAAGUCGUAACAAGGUACC